UACGUUGGGAGCAAGCGUUGUCCGGAAUCAUUGGGCGUAAAGCGCGCGUAGGUGGCUUCGUAAGUCCGUUGUGAAAGUCAAAGGCUCAACCUUUGAAAGCCGAUGGAUACUGUGAAGCUAGAGUACGGAAGAGGCGAGUGGAAUUCCUGGUGUAGCGGUGGAAUGCGCAGAUAUCAGGAGGAACACCAAUAGCGAAGGCAGCUCGCUGGGACGUUACUGACACUGAGGCGCGAAAGCGUGGGGAGCGAACAGG
RNAcentral lists this ribosomal RNA (253 nucleotides) under uncultured bacterium. Its description in RNAcentral is "partial 16S ribosomal RNA". It matches the Rfam family "Bacterial small subunit ribosomal RNA", at positions 524 to 776 of the family's 1533-position model. The record is from RNAcentral.